This 75-nucleotide antisense RNA is filed under the name Actinoplanes sp. N902-109. Its description in RNAcentral is "ASpks TB sRNA". It matches the Rfam family "ASpks TB sRNA". Lineage: Bacteria; Bacillati; Actinomycetota; Actinomycetes; Micromonosporales; Micromonosporaceae. The record is from Rfam by way of RNAcentral.
CUUCACCGAGCCCAGCCAGAGCGGGUUGGCCUCGUCGCGGCCCUGGCCGUACGUGGCCAGCAUCGCCUGGGCCUC